UUCCUCAUUGCUGAGGGUCGUGACCACCC
Molecule: small RNA, 29 nt
Filed under: Bombyx mori (domestic silkworm)
Lineage: Eukaryota; Metazoa; Arthropoda; Insecta; Lepidoptera; Bombycidae
Description: piRNA piR-bmo-1820877
Source: RNAcentral